CUUUAGUCCCUAUUUCGUUGGUUCACGAACUUAAUUAAUGAUGAAUAGAAACGGUUGGGGACAUUUGUAUUUGGUCGCUAGAGGUGAAAUUCUUGGAUUGACCGAGAACAAACUACUGCGAAAGCAUUUGAUCCAGGACGUUUUCCUUGAUCAAGGUCUAAAGUUAAGGGAUCCAAAACGAUUAGAUACCGUCCUAAUCUUAACCACUAACUAUGCCGACUAGAGAUUGGGCUGGUUUAUUAUGACUAGCUCACCCUCUUACCUAAAGUAAAGUUUUUGGGUUCUGGGGGGAGUAUGGGACGCACGGCUGAAACAUAAAGGAAUUGACGGAAGGGCACCACCCGGAGUGGAGCCUGCCUCUUAAUUUGACUCACCCCGGGGAAACUCACCAGGUCCAGACAUACACAGGAUUGACAGAUUGAAAGCUCUUUCUUGAUUCUUUGGGUGGGGGGGCAUGGCCGUUCUUACUUCGUGGAGGGAUUUGUCUGGUUAAUUCCGAUAACUAACGAAACCUUAUUCUGCUAAAUAGGCAGGGCAACUUUUUAGUUGAUUAAUAGAUUUAUCUAUCUGGCUUCUUAGAUAGACUAUCGACUGCAAGCCGAAGGAAGUACUAGGCAGUAACACGUCUGUGAUGCCCUUACAUGUUCUGGGCCGCACUCGCGCUACACUGAUGAAGACACCUAGUCUAUA
This 690-nucleotide ribosomal RNA is filed under the name uncultured fungus. Its description in RNAcentral is "bacterial SSU rRNA". It matches the Rfam family "Eukaryotic small subunit ribosomal RNA", at positions 828 to 1525 of the family's 1831-position model. The record is from RNAcentral. Lineage: Eukaryota; Fungi.